CAAAAACAUGUCUUUUUGAUUAUAAUUUAAAGUCUUGCCUGCCCAAUGAUUAAUUAAAUGGCCGCAGUAUUUUGACUGUGCAAAGGUAGCAUAAUCAUUAGUUUUUUAAUUGAAAGCUGGAAUGAAUGGUUUAAUGAGAAAUAGACUGUCUCUUUAUAAAUUUUAUAGAAUUUUAAUUUUAAGUGAAAAAGCUUAAAUUUAUUAUAAAGACGAGAAGACCCUAUAGAGUUUUAUUAUUAAAUUUGUAAAUGAUUUUUGGUUUUAAUUAUUUUUUAUUUUUUAAAUAAUUUUGUUGGGGUGAUGUAAAAAUUGAUAUAACUUUUUAUUUAUUAUUACACAAAUUAGUGAAUAUUUGAUCCUUUUUUUAAGAUUAAAAGAUUAAAUUACCUUAGGGAUAACAGCGUAAUUUUUUUGGAAAGUUCUUAUUUAUAAAAAAGUUUGCGACCUCGAUGUUGGAUUAAAAUUUAUUUUUGGUGUAGAAGCUGAAAUAUUAGGUCUGUUCGACCUUUAAAAUUUUACAUGAUCU
RNAcentral lists this ribosomal RNA (526 nucleotides) under Cymbeba trapezus. RNAcentral's name for it is "partial 16S ribosomal RNA". It matches the Rfam family "Bacterial large subunit ribosomal RNA", at positions 1808 to 2606 of the family's 2925-position model. Lineage: Eukaryota; Metazoa; Arthropoda; Insecta; Coleoptera; Tenebrionidae. The record is from RNAcentral.